This 210-nucleotide long non-coding RNA is filed under the name Trifolium pratense (red clover). RNAcentral's name for it is "long non-coding RNA (TPRA_LNC003610)". Lineage: Eukaryota; Viridiplantae; Streptophyta; Magnoliopsida; Fabales; Fabaceae. The record is from RNAcentral.
AGAGUCUUCAUAGCUUUUCCACAUCACCUUCUCUCCUAGCAACAUAAAAUAAAGUAGGCGGCGACCAGUUGUCACAAUAGAACUUGCACCGUGGUUCUGUGUUUUUCUUUCCCGUAUUGUACACUAAACCCUAGUUUUGUUUAUAAAUCAAACCAAAAAAUCAUACCACUAAACAACCAUCACAUCUCUAAACCGUCAUUCACCACGAUC